RNAcentral lists this ribosomal RNA (460 nucleotides) under uncultured bacterium. RNAcentral describes it as "partial 16S ribosomal RNA". It matches the Rfam family "Bacterial small subunit ribosomal RNA", at positions 338 to 795 of the family's 1533-position model. The record is from RNAcentral.
CCUACGGGCGGCAGCAGUGAGGAAUAUUGGUCAAUGGACUCGAGUCUGAACCAGCCAUGCCGCGUGCAGGAAGACGGCUCUAUGAGUUGUAAACUGCUUUUAUACGAGGAUAAACGCAGAUACGCGUCUCUGUCUGAAAGUAUCGUACGAAUAAGGAUCGGCUAACUCCGUGCCAGCAGCCGCGGUAAUACGGAGGAUUCAAGCGUUAUCCGGAUUUAUUGGGUUUAAAGGGUGCGUAGGCGGUCGGAUAAGUUAGAGGUGAAAUCCCGAGGCUCAACUUCGGAAUUGCAUCUGAUACUGUCAGGCUAGAGAGUAGUUGCGGUAGGCGGAAUGCAUGGUGUAGCGGUGAAAUGCUUAGAGAGCACACAGAACACCGAUUGCGAAGGCAGCUUACCAAGCUACUUCUGACGUUGAGGCACGAAAGCGUGGGGAGCAAACAGGAUUAGAUACCCGAGUAGUC